RNAcentral lists this ribosomal RNA (403 nucleotides) under uncultured bacterium. RNAcentral describes it as "partial 16S ribosomal RNA". It matches the Rfam family "Bacterial small subunit ribosomal RNA", at positions 30 to 526 of the family's 1533-position model. The record is from RNAcentral.
AUUGAACGCUGGCGGCAGGCCUAACACAUGCAAGUCGAGCGAGCGGCGGACGGGUGAGUAAUGUAUGGGGACUGCCCGAUAGAGGGGGAUAACUACUGGAAACGGUGGCUAAUACCGCAUACUAUCGGAGAACCCAUAUGGGAUUAGCUAGUAGGUGGGGUAAAGGCUCACCAAGGCGACGAUCUCUAGCUGGUCUGAGAGGAUGAUCAGGCACACUGGGACUGCGACACGGCCCAACACCCUACGGAGGCAGCAGUGGGGAAUAUUGCACAAUGGGCGCAAGCCUGAUUCUGCCAUGCCGCGUGAGUGAUUACGGCCUUCGGGUUGUAAAGCUCUGUUAAUCGGGACGCGGUACCGGAAUAGAAAGCCACGGCUAACUACGUGCCAGCCGCCGCGGUAAUAC